Long non-coding RNA from Rosa rugosa (rugosa rose), 726 nucleotides. RefSeq lists it as uncharacterized. The transcript is spliced from 3 exons. The record is from RefSeq and is a predicted model, not a curated record. NCBI's taxonomy places the organism in Eukaryota, Viridiplantae, Streptophyta, Magnoliopsida, Rosales, Rosaceae.
CUCUUCCUGACUCCAGCUCUGCCCUUCUCCACUUCUCUUACUCUCCCUCUUCAAUUUGGGGCAAUGAAUUCAAUGUUGUAUUGGAUUGAAGAUUUCGUGGAUUGAAGAAUGAAACCUUGGUCAAAUUCUCUUGCUCUGGAAAUCUGGAGGCUUCUUUCUGUUUGUUUGUUUAAUUGUGAAUGGCAGUAUGGCACUAUGAUUCUAUGAAUUGGAACUACGAACUGGAAGUCUGGAACACAAAGGGAUUAACCGAUUAAGUGAAUGGCAAAAGCUUGAGUCUACUGCUUUCUGAGGUUUCUUUUCAUUGUGCAUCAGUGCAUAUAAAAUUGUGGCUUAUAUUGUGGUUUUUUGUUUUUGUUAAAUUAGUUAUUACGAAAAGUAAUUAAUUCAAAGUUAAUGUCUUAAUGUAUAGGUGUUAGAGUUUCUUGGUGAUUGUAUGGUCCUUCACAUUGAGAAGGAAUAUGCUGAAUCUAUUAACAAUGAAUCGGUGAUCAAAGAGUUUGAAGCAUGUGGAACUCGUAGAGUUAGAUUUAGUUAGUUUAGGUUCUUGUAUUGCAUUGCACGUUUAUUUUGUUGUUGAUUUUGUUUUUUAGUUUUGUAUAGAUAUGCAUUUGAGGGGUAAGGCUCACUACGUCCCCCUCUGACUAGGUGCACCUUCUUUUAAAAUUAAUAAAAUUCUCUCGGACCAUCGAGAUUCUCCAUAUAUAUAUAAUUUUUUUUUUUGUU